RNAcentral lists this long non-coding RNA (2395 nucleotides) under Mus musculus (house mouse). Its description in RNAcentral is "long non-coding RNA chr17:13017729-13020124". Lineage: Eukaryota; Metazoa; Chordata; Mammalia; Rodentia; Muridae. The record is from RNAcentral.
UGAGAGGCGCCGCCUGCCAUGAGUACCAUGGACAGUGAUUUUACUGAGUCUAAUGUUUAGGCCUUCCAGUGUUUAAAACUGUUUUAUUGCAAGUUUGGCAGAGAUGACCUCGGUGAGUUCAUGGUGCAGUUAACGUGAUUUUUAUGCCAUAUUUGCUGAUUUUUACAGAUUAAAUUUAAAAAAUUACAUUUACAAAAUUGUUGUUUUGAGGAAUAUUGUUGUUGAUUUUGUUUGUUUUGUUUUGAGUGACUGUUAGUAUUCUUGAAUACUGUUAGACCUGACAGGAUUAGCUGUAGUAAAUUAUCAGUUUUAAAGGUGAGUGUUGUUUUAUUGUAAAAUGCAUGUUUUAGAUAUUUGGAAAAUACUAAUAAAAGCAAAGGUAACAAAGUAUCCAGUGGUAUGCUGUCUGAAGAAAUGCAUACUGCCUUUCUGAGUUUCUUGCAGGAUUUUAUUUUACUUAGGGGUAGGAGAGUACAUAUUGUAUCUGGUUAAUCAUUUCCAUUUUAGCCAGUAAUGAAUCAUAUUUCUUAGAUGCAUCUCUGCCAAGAAUUUAGUUAUUAAAACUGAUCCAGGUUAUUCUGGUAAGAAUGCUCCACUCUUCCUGAGGCCCACUGUUAGUCUGAUACUUAUGUGAAUACUUUCUCUAUGUUCUCUCCUUCAGUUUUCACGACAACCCUAGGGGGUAGGUCUUUUGCUGUUUGCAGUUGUGAAUGGACAAGAAAGUAGAGUAAGAGUAGAUGACUAGUGUGAGGGAAUACAGCUAGUCAGUUGUGUAGCAGAGAUUUGUGGGCAGGUAGUCUGAUGACAUUUGCCUAUUAACUACUGUGUUUGUAAUCCACACCUGGCAGAGUAUUGAUUUCUAAAUUUUCAUUUGUUUGUUUGUUUGUUUACUCUCACUGUGUGCAUGCACAUGCAUGGGAGUGUGUGCCAUGGCACAUGUUGGAGUUAGAGGACAACUUGCAGGAAGCAGUUCUCCUUUGAUCAUGUGGAUUCCAGGAAUUGAACUCAGGUCAUCUGGCUGAUGGCAGUCAGUCUAUAGUAUAUUGAUUUUUAUCUUGACUUGUAAAGCUCUGUUACAGUCUUUGUUUGAGCUCGAUUGUUCUGUCUUUGGCUCAGAUGAUACAUGCCACAUUUCAAUAGCUCAGGCAGAGUAUGGAGUUACUUUGUUUCCUACAUAACAGCCAAAAUUGCAUGAGUGCUGGAUGUGUGAACGACACUUUGUAGCUUUACUGAAACCUCCCUGUGCUCAUGGGACAGGGAGAAAGAGAAAAUAAAUAUGAGACAAGGAGUCUGACAGUGUUCUGACAUCCGCUGGAGGAGUCCCUGGUCCCUCCCUCUUACUGCUUCACUGAAAACAAAACACCCUCCUUCUGUGACUUUUAGAGACCCUGAUUCUCCUUUCUGCUAAAGCUCAGCUAAUUUGAUAUCAUGAAACUAUAGUAUAUAUAAUAUUCUAUAUCCGUUUUCUCAAGGUAGCACUUGAAUUCUAGAAAAAUAGUUCAUAGGCAGUAUUUGAUUGUGAUUAGCAGAUUCUUACUGUAUGCAGAUGAAUGUGAGCUGUUCCAAAAGAGGAGGGAAUUUCAUAUACAGGGCAGGCUUAGCGGUAAGCUGAUGAGACUUCCGUCCACGGAUGAGCUUUUGUUUUUCCUUUGUGUGAGGUUAGGAAAGCUUGGUGAGAAAGCUUCUGGGUGGGGAGCUAAACCAGUUGGCCUCCCUGGUUGGUCGGGAUUCAUUAAGGAUUCAUUCAUUCAAUGGAAGCCUAAAGCCAGGGAUAGUACCAAACACAUGUGUGUGUGUGUGUGUGUGUGUGUGCGUGCGUAUUUAUAUAUAUAUAAUUACGCACACACACACACAAUUUUUUUAUACAUACACCUCUAUGGUAAAGUUUAAUUUAUAGAUUGGGAACAGAAAUUAGCGACAAUACUAAAAUAAUUAUGUAGUACAUUAUUUUAAAAUAAUCUAUAUUUUGUGGUUAUUAUGAACUAAAAUUAGUAUUACUUAAACAUUGUAGUACCAUAACAGUCCAUUUGAUAAUAGAGAUAGCUACUAAAUGACAGGCAAAAACCAUAUACAUUGUGGAAACUCAAGACAAAGAGAGUUCAUGUCCUGAGCAGGACUCAGAGCUAUGUACAAUUUAAAAAUUAUGAUUCGGACAGGGGAGUUAGCUUGUUUGUUGAAGUAAGUACCUGCUGCAAAAGCAUAAAGAAGUGAGUUUGAGGGCUGGUGAGAUGGCUCAGUGGGUAAGAGCACCCCACUGCUCUUCCGAAGGUCCAAAGUUCAAAUCCCAGGAACCACAUGGUGGCUCACAACCAUCCACAACAAGAUUUGACUCCCUCUUCUGGAGUGUCUGAAGACAGCUACAGUGUACUUACAUAUAUUAAUAAAAUAAAUCUUU